AUGACCGCGGCAUACGGGUUGACUCGAUGCGGGUACACGGGGAGAUCCCGAUCGGGGAGGGGACGUAGGUGCGGUUUCCCUGUCACGUUGUUUUGGUCGGCAGGGGAUUGGGUCCCGAGGCGGAGGCGCGGCGUGAUGCGUAGAUCGAGGCGGAGGAGGAGAGGGAACGUCGGGAAGGGAGGCGGAUUAAAGCUGCGGCACGGUGCGGAGCGGCCAUUCCCUCCCCUCUCGACGAAACCCACCUCCCUUCUCUCCCACGAGCAAGCUCUCCGAAGGCGGGCGGUCAUGGAUUCCUGGAAGCAGAGACUCGAGAGGAGGGCUCUGGUAAUAGCCAACGGCGACGAAGAGAAGCUAGCGAAGCUGAGGGAGAUCAUCUCCAGGUUCUCGACGGAGAGCAAUCUAAAGGAGGCGGCGGGGUGUGCCUACCGGAGGCUCACCGAGGCGGAGGACUGGCGCCUCACUCCGUCAGGCGAGCCGGUGGGGGCGCUCCGGAUGCUGCUGUGGGCGAUGGAGGAGGCGGAAUCAGACGAUCCGAUGUAG
Molecule: ribosomal RNA, 540 nt
Filed under: Triticum aestivum (bread wheat)
Lineage: Eukaryota; Viridiplantae; Streptophyta; Magnoliopsida; Poales; Poaceae
Description: partial small subunit ribosomal RNA
Source: RNAcentral